AUAUUGGUCAAUGGAGGCAACUCUGAACCAGCCAUGCCGCGUGCAGGAAGACGGCCCUACGGGUUGUAAACUGCUUUUAUACGGGAAUAAACCCUCCGACGUGUCGGGGGCUGAAUGUACUGUAAGAAUAAGGAUCGGCUAACUCCGUUCCAGCAGCCGCGGUAAUACGGAGGAUCCAAGCGUUAUCCGGAUUUAUUGGGUUUAAAGGGUGCGUAGGCGGCUUUUUAAGUCAGGGGUGAAAGACGGCAGCUCAACUGUCGCAGUGCCUUUGAUACUGAAGAGCUUGAUUACACAUGAGGCAGGCGGAAUGUGACAAGUAGCGGUGAAAUGCAUAGAUAUGUCACAGAACCCCGAUUGCGAAGGCAGCUUACUAAAGUGUAAAUGACGCUGAGGCACGAAAGCGUGGGGAUCAAACAGG
Molecule: ribosomal RNA, 418 nt
Filed under: uncultured bacterium
Lineage: Bacteria
Description: bacterial SSU rRNA
Rfam family: Bacterial small subunit ribosomal RNA
Source: RNAcentral